UCCCCGGCGAGAUCAUGGACCUGAUGGUCGCCAAUACCGCGGUGGUGAAGGAGAAUCCGGAUUUUGCCAAGGCGCUGGUCGGCAUCUGGUAUGAGACGAUCACCAAGAUGAACGCGGCGGGCGCUGAAGGCAAAGCGGCGAAGGAAGCCAUGGCCAAGGCGUCGGGCACGGAUCUCGCCGGCUUCGACAGCCAGCUCGCAUCAACAAAACUGUUCGACAAGCCCGCGGACGCGGAGGCUUUCGCCAAGAGCAAGACUGUUGGGACGACGAUGGACCGCGUACGUAAAUUCCUGUUCGAAAAAGAAUUGCUCGGCAAGG
RNAcentral lists this unclassified non-coding RNA (318 nucleotides) under Hevea brasiliensis (rubber tree). The record is from RNAcentral. Lineage: Eukaryota; Viridiplantae; Streptophyta; Magnoliopsida; Malpighiales; Euphorbiaceae.